UCCCUGGUGGCUCAGAUGGUAAAGAAUCUGCCUGCAAUGCAGGAGACCUGGGUUCGAUCCCUGGUUUGGAAG
Molecule: transfer RNA, 72 nt
Filed under: Bos indicus (zebu cattle)
Lineage: Eukaryota; Metazoa; Chordata; Mammalia; Artiodactyla; Bovidae
Also listed under: 1 other name
Rfam family: tRNA
About the family: Transfer RNA (tRNA) molecules are approximately 80 nucleotides in length. Their secondary structure includes four short double-helical elements and three loops (D, anti-codon, and T loops).
Source: Rfam by way of RNAcentral